UCCGAAGCCCUACAGACAGGGAAGGAAUGGCUAAACUCUGGUCUGUGCUGAUAGCUGAGGAGUGGCUAAUCGGCAGGUCCUCACUUCUAUCAUUCGGAUUACAGUCUGCUACUUUUCCAGAAGUAUUAUUUUCCAGAAGUAUUAUUCAACAUGCUAUGGCUUUUCCACCUAUGCCUUCAGAUGUUUGCAGCUUGCCGUGGGCUUUCUAAGAAUAUUGUGGAUGUGCCAUGAUUUUGAAGACUUAUUUGAUGCUAUAAAAUUUAUUGUUUUGGACUCAGGCUAUGUCCCUUAGGGGAAAAGGUAAUUGUGUAGUGUCUGGAGGCUGGCUCCUAAGCAGAACUCUUUUACCACAGGACUUCAUGUCACCGUAGUGACACUCAGACCUUGCUAAAACCACCUGGGACAACAUUCAGACUUAGAGGAUACACUGACCAGCCUCUAUUUCAUUGACUUAAUGGCGUCUCCCUUUUGUCAGCCUUGUACAGUUGUUGCUCCCAGCAGACAUAUGUCAAAGACAUAAUGACAAAAAAAAAAAAAAAAAAAAAAAAAAAAAAAAAAAAAAAAGGAGUGGACUCUAUUUCCUACUUGGAUCAUGAAUGAGCCUCCUACCAGGAAGCUUUCCCAGUAAAGAUACUGUCCCACCACCCCUAGAGGCAUGACUGACUCCAAGUUGCCCACAUUCUUGUGAAUUAACCUUUUUGUCACAAUAUGUUUCUCUAUGUCUGUUGGGUACUUCUGUUUUGUAUUCAAGGCUCUCUCCCCAUCCUUUACUUUGCCACACCUCUGAGUUCUCUCUCUGACAAUGAUAAGAACCUGAAAACACUGUAGAAGUUUCGGCCUCCCUGCUAUCUUCCUGCUCCCUUCAGCCAUCUUUUGUCUACUGCCCCAUCAUGAUACUCUGGAAACUAGUUCUGUGAAGCAGACUACCACUUCCUGAAUGGGAGUGCUGUUGCCACGUAAGUCAGGGAAAUGUAGGUACUUUACUUCCCUAUCUAUGUAAAUAAAGGCCAUUAACAUUUGAAAAGUAAAUUACCACAGAGUUGUUCAGAAAUGCUUGCCCACCAGAACAUGCCUGGGAGACGGAUUAUUCUGUUUUCACAUUUCUGUCUAGUGUUGGUCGAGGGCAGAGCUGGAUAAAAUUCCUUCCUUUUUAUCAGCUGUAAAGCAGAAAGGCUUUGAAGACUUUCCCAGCUGCUUUUCUGAGAAGUCCUUUUGGACACCCAGGACAUGCUGAGCAAAGAUGAGUAGCAGGGGCAGGGAUAAUAAUGGGAAUGGCAUAUUUGAGUGUCAUUGGGCCAACCUGGAUUGUCAAAGCAUCCUAUGUAAGGACCGAAGUGGGGAAGUGUAGUUUCCAGGGAGGCAGCUAACAGAGCCUGCAGGAGGCUUUCAAAAAGAAUUACUUUCACUGCCCUUGGACUGCUUGGCCCAUGUGACCACCAUUUCUCAUUUCAUUAAAGUCUUGACUGAUGCCUCCAUUCUUGUCACUUUCCUGCUCAAACCCAUUCAAUGCCUUCCCCUUUUAUUUAACUGCAUCCUGCCUCCUUGGUCACAGGUAAAAGGUUCUGUGUAUUUUUACAGCUUUGUCUCAUGCUUUGUUUCUUUCUAGUCCUGGCUUCUUUCUCCCUCUCUUUCUUUCUCUCUCUCUCUCUCUCUUGCACAUGUAUAUGUGUGCACAUGCGUACACACACACACACACACACACACACACACACACACAUGCAUACACACACACCUGGCAAAAUCUGUCUCUUGGAACUUUGUUUUCUGCCCAGGCAUCUUCCUACCUUUCAUGCUCCACGCCCAGUGCUAUUCAGGACCUCAGGAUCAGCCUCCUUGAACAAGCAAGGACUCUGGCUCUAGUGUUCAGAUAGGAUUUCCUGUCACGUAGUUUUGUCUUUACUUUGUGCUACUUCUACUUAAGCGGCAAAGUGUGAACUGUCCUUGUCUUUGAGUGCUCAGCACUUAAAAUAGAUUCUUACAUUUGGACUUGACAAUAUUUAUGGAGCGAAUGAAUGGAAGCUAUAAAGCUAUUGAUUAAAA
Molecule: long non-coding RNA, 2040 nt
Organism: Mastomys coucha (southern multimammate mouse)
Lineage: Eukaryota; Metazoa; Chordata; Mammalia; Rodentia; Muridae
Exons: 2
Source: RefSeq, a predicted model, not a curated record